RNAcentral lists this ribosomal RNA (493 nucleotides) under uncultured bacterium. RNAcentral describes it as "partial 16S ribosomal RNA". It matches the Rfam family "Bacterial small subunit ribosomal RNA", at positions 28 to 506 of the family's 1533-position model. The record is from RNAcentral.
GACGAACGCUGGCGGCGUGCUUAACACAUGCAAGUCGAACGGUGAAGCGCCUUCCUUUUUGGUGGGUGUGGAUGAGUGGCGAACGGGUGAGUAACACGUGAGUAACCUGCCCCCUUCUUCUGGAUAACCGCAUGAAAGAGUGGCUAAUACGGGAUAUUCUGGGUCUGUCGCAUGAUGGGUCUGGGAAAGAUAUUGUUUCGGUGGGGGAUGGGCUCGCGGCCUAUCAGCUUGUUGGUGGGGUGAUGGCCUACCAAGGCGGUGACGGGUAGCCGGCCUGAGAGGGUGGACGGUCACACUGGGACUGAGACACGGCCCAGACUCCUACGGGAGGCAGCAGUGGGGAAUAUUGCACAAUGGGCGCAAGCCUGAUGCAGCGACGCCGCGUGAGGGAUGGAGGCCUUCGGGUUGUGAACCUCUUUCGCCAGUGAAGCAGGCCUGCCUCGUUUGUGGGUGGGUUGACGGGAGCUGGAUAAGAAGCGCCGGCUAACUACGU